This 1242-nucleotide ribosomal RNA is filed under the name metagenome. Its description in RNAcentral is "bacterial LSU rRNA". It matches the Rfam family "Bacterial large subunit ribosomal RNA", at positions 1564 to 2815 of the family's 2925-position model. The record is from RNAcentral.
UGAAUACGAGAUGCUACGGCGUCGAAGCAGUGUAUGUCAGACUUCCAAGAAAAGCUCGCAAUGUCAUAAAUAAAGAAUGCCUGUACCAUAACCGACACAGGUGGGUAGGUAGAGUAUACUAAGGGGCGCGAGAUAACUCUCUCUAAGGAACUCGGCAAAAUAACUCCGUAACUUCGGGAGAAGGAGUGCCUUCUUUAAGAAGGUUGCAAUAACAAGAUCCAAGCAACUGUUUAUCAAAAACACAGGUCUCCGCUAAGUCGUAAGACGAUGUAUGGGGGCUGACGCCUGCCCAGUGCCAGAAGGUUAAAGAAGUUGGUUAGCUUUUGCGAAGCUGAUGACUGAAGCCCUGGUGAACGGCGGCCGUAACAAUAACGGUCCUAAGGUAGCGAAAUUCCUUGUCGGGUAAGUUCCGACCCGCACGAAAGGCGUAAUGAUUUGGAUACUGUCUCGGAGAGGGACUCGGUGAAAUAGACUUGUCUGUGAAGAUGCGGACUACCUGCACCAGGACAGAAAGACCCUAUGAAGCUUUACUGUAACUUGAAAUUGAAAUUGGACUUUAUUUGCGCAGUAUAGGUGGAAGGCGUUGAAAGUAAUCUUGCGGGAUUAGUGGAGCCAUCAGUGAGAUACCACUCCUAUAAUGUUAGAUUUCUAACUUUGGAUCAUGAUCUGGUCAAAGAACAGUUUCAGGCGGGCAGUUUGACUGGGGCGGUCGCCUCCCAAAUGGUAACGGAGGCGUACAAAGGUUUCCUCUGAACGGGUAGAAAUCGUAUCUAGAGUGUAAAGGCAUAAGGAAGCUUGACUGUGAGACCUACAAGUCGAGCAGGGACGAAAGUCGGUCUUAGUGAUCUGACGGUGCUGAGUGGAAAGGCCGUCACUCAACGGAUAAAAGUUACUCUAGGAUAACAGGCUGAUCUCCCCCAAGAGUUCACAUCGACGGGGAGGUUUGGCACCUCGAUGUCGGCUCAUCGCAUCCUGGGGCGGUAGUACGUCCCAAGGGUUGGGCUGUUCGCCCAUGAAAGCGGUACGCGAGCUGGGUUCAGAACGUCGUGAGACAGUUCGGUCCAUAUCCGGUGUAGGCGUUAGAAUAUUGAGAGGAGCCUUCUUUAGUACGAGAGGACCGAGAAGGACAUACCUCUGGUGUACCAGUUAUCGUGCCAACGGUAAACGCUGGGUAGCUAUGUAUGGAGAGGAUAACCGCUGAAAGCAUCUAAGUGGGAAGCCCACCUCAAGAUGAGUAUUCGC